AGCCGAUACUCACGCACACACAAACAUACUACCUUACUCAAACAAAACAUUUGCCUUAACCUAGUAGAUGCGAUCAAACAGUAAAUCCAACAACAUAGUACCGCAAGGGAACAUUUUAAGCAAUAAAAAGCAAAGAUAAACCCUUGUACCUUUUGUAUCAKGGUUUAGCAAGAAAAACAAGACAAGAAGAAUCAUAGCCUCCACCCCGAAACCAGAUGAGCUACUUUAUAGCAGCCUACUGGGCACACCCGUCUCUGUAGCAAAAGAGUGGGACGACUUAAAAGUAGAGGUGAAAUGCCUAUCGAAUCUGGAGAUAGCUGGCUACCCAAAAAAGAAUCUAAGUUCAACCCUAGACCAAAAUCAAUCACUACUUAUUGUCUAAGGAUAAUCAAUAGGGGUACAGCCCUAUUGAAACAGGAUACAACCUGAAUUUGAGAGGAACAAUACUAAUAUUACCCCGUAGGCCCUUAAGCAGCCACCCAACAAAAUAUCGUUAAAGAAUUCAACCAAUAAACCCAACACUAACACAAAACUCCAAACCAACUAAAGGUAAACCCAUAUACAUGGGUGUUAUUAUGCUAAAACUAAUAAUCAGACAGCCUCUCUUUAUGCACCUGUCCACUAAGCCCGGAUAAACCACUAGUCAUUAACAGACCAUAAUAGGCACCAUCAAACCAAUAUUCACCCCACAACAGACUGUGACCCCAACACAGGCACAUUAAAAAGAAAGAUCAAACAUUAUAAAAGGAACUCGGCAAACACAGACCCCAACUGUUUAACAAAAACAUAACCUUUAGCCAAACAAAUAUUAAAGGCAAUGCCUGCCCAGUGAACAAUUAAACGGCCGCGGUACCUAAC
This 858-nucleotide ribosomal RNA is filed under the name Tantilla melanocephala (black-headed snake). RNAcentral describes it as "partial 16S ribosomal RNA". The stretch from base 205 to 321 matches the Rfam family "Bacterial large subunit ribosomal RNA", at positions 715 to 853 of the family's 2925-position model. The record is from RNAcentral. Lineage: Eukaryota; Metazoa; Chordata; Lepidosauria; Squamata; Colubridae.